CCGCCGUCUCUCGACCACGCCACACGCCUCGCCCCACCUAUUCCCCACAGCCUCCACCUCUGCCUCCAUCUCCACGCGCCGCCGGACCGUCGCGCCCACGCUCCAGGCGCACGGCCGCCUCCACCACGCGCCACCCGGACCGCCGACCGCCACGCCCACGCUCCAGGCGCACGGCCGCGUCCUCCACGCGCCGCCCGGACCGCCGACCACCGCGCCCACCCUCCAGACACAUGGACGCGUCCUCCACGCGCCGCCCGGACCGCCGACCGCCGCGCCCACGCUCCACCGUACAGACGCGACCUCCAGGCGCCUCCCGGAUAGGCGCCGCCUGAAGUCCACCCUACAGGUGCCUUCCGCCCAUAUUCUGGUUGCAGUGACCAUUUUUUGUUUAAUUGUUCGCAUGUUCAAUACCACACCCCCGCUCUCAGAUCCAGGCUGCUCGUUGGUGCCGAGCCCCAGCGUAGCACCCACCGUCUCCAUCUCCUGCGUCAGGACGCUGUUCCCACGGCCCUCCGACAGGUUCGUGGCUAAGUCACGGCCGCCGCGAUGGCAAGUACUCCAUGCGCCCUCGGUCGGUCGCUGCCGUCGCCGAGCAGUCCUCCUAUGAUUUCGCAUCUUAGUUCGCUACUGGAGAUGAACAGGACCAAGAGCUGCAGAGAUGGCAAGUACUCCCUCUGUAAACUAAUAUAAGAGUACUUGACAAGAAAGAAUUACAGGCAGUUCCACCUGGAGGUGGGACAGGCUGUGGAAAUUGAAUGUAUUGUAAAGAUUUAGGAUGUAAACCAGGAGGUGAUCAAAGUAUUGGAGGGGCUGGGAUUUCGUGAAGGUCAGCUCUUUCAUAUUGUUUCAAUUUUUUAAUAACAUUCUGCAAUGCGUUCAAUCCAUAAGAUUAUGUACUGCACGUUAAGUCUAAUUUGGCAUCAAAAUCUUAUUAAUUCAUACCUGAAAUAAAUUGCUAUUCUUUUCAUUUACCAAGCCUCAUGGUAUGUUUACUCGUGUGAGGACAAUCUCUUGGUAUGCUAUUUCUGAUACAUAUCCUUCCAUGUGUAUAGAAAAUACCCAUCUUCCGUUUCACUGAGAGGGGAUGAUACCGAUGGUUCACUGCUAUAUUUGAUGUGAAAGUGUAAAUUGUGUGUCUGAUUAGGCUUUCUCUUUGGUUGCUAUUGGAAUAUAUAGGAGGUUGCCUGCUUUCCUUUUAUGCCAUAGUUCACACCACAUUUUUGUUUUUAGGCUUAUGUAUGAGUUGGUUUCAAGCUAUGCACAUGCUGCUCCAAUGUAUAUUUACAGAAACUCCUCAAAGUUAGAUUGGAGGAAUGCCCAUUUCUUCACCACUUCGGGGGUAAAAGUAGUAUGUGGAGCAAGUUAUUGCUUCCCUUCUCAUUUUUUGCUGUCAAGAAUCAAGUAUUAUACUUAAUGUUUUUUUAUUUUAUAGCCUCAUUUGUGAUCUUUUUCAUUUUAUUCCUUGUUAAUAUAUUCAAGGGUCUCAUUGCUACUUUGUCUCGAUAAUUUUAUAUCUACUUCAUGUCAUCACAAAUACAUGUUUUUAAUAGGAUCCGUCUUUUCUUUGUUCUAUUUUGGUCUUACCUUAAGGCCAUACCACUGCAGGAAACUUGGCUUACUUGGGAGUAUGAUCCAUGCUUUAUGAUGUUGUGAGUGACUUCUCGUGUUUAGUGCUUGCGGCGUAGAUCAGUAGAUGGAGAAGAGCCGACUUAACUGGAGUCCACACAGCACAAACGAACUAGAGUGUUUACAUUUCUUUCAAGUGCAAGAAGGCAGUUACACUACUGAAAUUAUAUGCGGAUGAAAUGCUUGGGACUACAAGAUGCUACAAGGAAACUAAAUGCAAAAGAAAACUAUGGAGGAAGUAUUACAUGCAAUACUAAAUCUGGAGGAAGAAUAAAAAUCAAGUAAAGGUUGGAGGUAGAAUCAACUUCAAGCUCGAGUACCCAAUGGUAGAGAAAUAGAAAGGAGGCACAAGAUGGAAGAUGGUGACCAGAUAAGGAAGCAAUUUUUGGUGCACCUACUCAACUACAUCAACAAUGAAGCUGCACACAACAUUCCGGAUACUUACGUGAAUUCAUUAGCCUUAUUAGGAAAUACUGGGAUAAUUGUUUUGGCUCUAUGCACAUGACGAGUCGAUGAUACAUUAAGGUUGUGUUUGGCUGCUCAGUUUUUUUUAAGUAUUUGGAGAAUACUAUGGUUUUCUCAUAAACCACAGAUUUCAAAACUUUGAGCUGUUUGGCUUCAACAAAUAGUUUUAUAAACCAUAGUAUCUCUAAUACCAUGGUUUUUUGGUAGUAUUUAAUAAAGAGAUCUUCACCACUUUUUUACAAACUGAAAAAACCGUGGUUUUUAAAAACUGAAGAAUUAAUUGUACUGAGGUUCUCGGUUACUACUGUUUUGAGAAAACUAUGUUGCCAAACUAGGCCUGUAGUGUUUUCUUGAUUUGUAAUAGUACUUUUGAGUGUAAUCAAAAUAUCUUUAUGUGCAUGUUAAUUCUGACAUAUGUUUGUCAUAUUAAUUGAGAUAUGCAUUUGCACAUGCACGCUUACUAGUUCCUUGCAAGAGAGAGCACAGAACACAAGAACGAAGAGAUUUGCGCCGCGUGAACUUCUCACGGCUUUUCUUCUGCUUCUAUUAUUCAUUCAAGGGACUUGACGACUUAUUAGGACGCAACCCAAACAGACUCGACAUCGGCCAAACUAAGACAAGACGUGCUGUAAACACACAAGCCGCCACAAUUGUUUAUUUGGAAAGGGAAACAUUCACUAUGAUUUACGUAUUCCCUUCCGAUGUAAAAUAAUUGUCGCAGUUUUGUAUUAAGUUUGAACUAAUCUAGUAGCAAACUGCGACACUUAUUAUGGAUCAGAGAGAGUACGAUAUACCAGUAACGGGUGACAAUUUAUUCAUGGUCUGCUGUACGUAU
Triticum aestivum (bread wheat) is the source of this 2926-nucleotide long non-coding RNA. RefSeq lists it as uncharacterized. The record is from RefSeq and is a predicted model, not a curated record. The transcript is spliced from 5 exons. Lineage: Eukaryota; Viridiplantae; Streptophyta; Magnoliopsida; Poales; Poaceae.